GUUUCUGUGUGUAUGUAAGAAAAGAAGUGUGUGUGUUUGCAUAUGUGUGUACGGGUUUGCAUUGUCUGUUUCUGUGUAUGUGUGCAAAGGAUGCAUUGUCUUUGUGUGUGUGUGUGUAAUGGAUGCAUUGUGUGUUUCUCUGUGUGUAAGGGAAGCAUGUUGUGUUUCUGUGUAUGUAUAGGGAUGCAUUGUGUGUGUGUGCGCGCGU
Molecule: non-coding RNA, 208 nt
Organism: Pelobates cultripes (western spadefoot toad)
Lineage: Eukaryota; Metazoa; Chordata; Amphibia; Anura; Pelobatidae
Source: the annotation of a GenBank genome assembly